RNAcentral lists this transfer RNA (70 nucleotides) under Camelus bactrianus (Bactrian camel). It matches the Rfam family "tRNA". From Rfam's summary of the family: Transfer RNA (tRNA) molecules are approximately 80 nucleotides in length. Their secondary structure includes four short double-helical elements and three loops (D, anti-codon, and T loops). The record is from Rfam by way of RNAcentral. Lineage: Eukaryota; Metazoa; Chordata; Mammalia; Artiodactyla; Camelidae. RNAcentral also lists the same sequence under 2 other names.
GGUAAUAGCUCAGUGGUAGGGCGCGUGCUUAACAUGCAUGAGGUCCUGGGUUCAAUCCCCAGUGCUUCCA